CUAAUACUCCCUCCGUCCGGAAAUGCUUGUCCUGCAAAUGGUUGUAUCUAGACCUAUUUUAGUUAUAGAUACAUCCAUUUUAUCCAUUUUUAGGACAAGUAUUUUUGGAUGAAGGGAUUACCUA
Triticum aestivum (bread wheat) is the source of this 124-nucleotide non-coding RNA. Lineage: Eukaryota; Viridiplantae; Streptophyta; Magnoliopsida; Poales; Poaceae. The record is from Rfam.